UCCGUUGUAGUCCAACGGUUAGGAUACCUGGCUUUCACCCAGGAGAUCCGGGUUCGAUUCCCGGCAACGGAA
This is a transfer RNA of 72 nucleotides. It matches the Rfam family "tRNA". From Rfam's summary of the family: Transfer RNA (tRNA) molecules are approximately 80 nucleotides in length. Their secondary structure includes four short double-helical elements and three loops (D, anti-codon, and T loops). The record is from Rfam.